This is a long non-coding RNA of Globicephala melas (long-finned pilot whale), 787 nucleotides long. RefSeq lists it as uncharacterized. The record is from RefSeq and is a predicted model, not a curated record. Lineage: Eukaryota; Metazoa; Chordata; Mammalia; Artiodactyla; Delphinidae.
UGCUUCUGGAGAGACCUGAGUGCUGUUCCCACCAGGAGCUGGUGGUCCCUGUGUUGGUGGGAGACUGUCCCACCUUUAUCCAGAACAGGUGGAGGUGGGGCGGGAAGUGUGGGAAUCUGAAAAGGAGGCUUCCCUGUGGACUGUCUGGGGACCCCAGGCUGGCUCGAAGAGAGGACCUGCUUGGCGGGUUGGUGCUGCCCUCUGGAGGUCCCUCCAGCUCGGUUCCCCCGGCCCCUGGCCGAGUGGGCUCUUCCGCCGCCGUCUUUCUCCCCCUCCCGGCUUCUGUGCUGGGCGCUGCGCCAGGCUGGGGGAGCCUUAGACGCAGUGAGCGCGAACUGAGCAGGCGCCGCAUCCUGGGCUACCCCUGCAGUCCCUGGGGAGCCGCCACAGCCGAGGCGCCCAAAUCCCGGGGGGGAUAACACUCCCCUCCUCGAGCCAGGCCAAGGGCGAGGGUGGGAGGAGAGGGGAGUAGACUGGAAUGGUUCCCGCAGGUCUCCCAGGAGCGGGACGCAAACGAGGAAGCCCUCCCUGUCUCGUCCCCGCCCUCCUCCCCACAAUCAAGUGCGCAACCAAAAGAGAACUGGGAUUCCGUGGUCGGGAGUCCGCCUGCCGAUGCAGGGGACGCAGGUUCGUGCCCCGGUCCGCGAAGAUCCCACAUGCCGCGGAGCGGAGCCAUGGCUGCUGAGCCUGCGCAUCCGGAGCCUGUGCUCCGCAACGGGAGAGGCCACAAAAGUGAGAGGCCCGCGUACCGCAAAAAAAAAAAAAAAAAAAAAAAGCUAAUGUUAAU